RNAcentral lists this ribosomal RNA (1261 nucleotides) under Triticum aestivum (bread wheat). RNAcentral describes it as "partial small subunit ribosomal RNA". The record is from RNAcentral. Lineage: Eukaryota; Viridiplantae; Streptophyta; Magnoliopsida; Poales; Poaceae.
CACGCUCCACGGUCUAUAGAACCUUAGCCUCGAGUUGUGAUGGGGGAGUAACAGAAGUACACAGAAAAGUAACUGCAGAUGACCAGAUGAAUAAUUUAUAAAACAGUCUCAACUAUUCCUCCCUGCAAAAGUAUGUAUAGGACUAGCGCCACCCCUGGGAAAGUCUCAAACGUACUUCGAGUUGUUCGAUAACUGAGUGUAGUACAACAACUCGCUUUAUUGAACACGUACUUACCUGAAAGUAGAUCCCUCUUCAGACACCCCAUACGAAAUAUGACCGGAGUACUACCGUGUUCUUCUUUAAGACGUCGUCGGAAACGACGGUACUUCUGGGCAGCGGGAUUUGUCCUUCAAUAAUUUCGAGAUGACCUGUUCAUGUUGCUCCUGUUACUAGAAAAUCCCCUAGAACGUAUAGCUGAUCUUCUUUAUCACUCUAUAUUUGGUACAAAACUGCCCUUUCUGACACUAAUAUCCAGUAUAAGUGUAAACUUAUACUGGUAUUUCUGAUUUCCUCGGCUACUAGGGGCGUUCUUCGACAUAAAACGACUUCAGUGAACAUACUCUCCGCUUGUACUUCUCAUACACGAGUGGACAUAGACGCGUCAACUUGGACUACGGUUACCACUUACGGAACACACACCUCUAGUUUACUUCGUGGGGUAACUACGAUUUAUGUUGGUACCAGCGAGGUGCGGUUAGAAAUCUACAACAAGGGUACGUCUACGUUUUCGGAACCCACUGCUCAAUUAAUGGCACGUACUACUCCGAACCGACCUUUUCCUCCUUCGAUCCCACUCUGCUCACAAGCUCCUUCACCGACUCCUAUAGUUCUUCCUCUUUCGUCGCUUUGACCGGCUCCGAUAGUUCCUCCUCUUUCGUCGCUUCGACCGAUUCCGAUAGUUCCCCCUCUUACGCAAUUUCCUUCACUUACUCCGAUGCCUCCACCCGUGGUAUCCCGUACCGGUACGUUUCUCGCGGUUCAUACAUCAUGGCCGAUCUGCUUUUACUCAACGAAGAGUUAAGUACCAAUGACAGCUACCACAGAGAAAGAGAGAGACGACGUGCAUGCCUACCAACACGUUACGCUUACGAGUUGUGUGGGGAAUCGUCUGUGCGAAGUCGUACGAAAACGAGUUCCGGGUUCUCUGGACGUCUCUACUGGUGUAUACUCUUAGGAACCGACUUUAGCGGCUUUACAGACCGACUUUGAUCAAUACAUGCAUGAUGUUCUUGACUUUAAGAAGACGAUAGCUUGGUGUCA